This is a long non-coding RNA of Melitaea cinxia (Glanville fritillary), 334 nucleotides long. RefSeq lists it as uncharacterized. NCBI's taxonomy places the organism in Eukaryota, Metazoa, Arthropoda, Insecta, Lepidoptera, Nymphalidae. The transcript has 2 exons. The record is from RefSeq and is a predicted model, not a curated record.
AUUCUGGUUCCGGGCUUUGCUUACGGCAAGUACUUUAAACUAAAGGAGCGAGUUUUAGACGGGUUUUCGGAUGAACACCUCAAUGUCGGAAUCAGCAAUGCAUAACGAUGCGGACUAGGGCUCCGGAUGUUCAAGCCAUGUGAAGCAGGCAUCUGAGCGAGGCCGAGUAGGAUGGGCGAUUACUGUGAACCGUGUCAACACUGCAACCGCGACUAAUCGUCCGCCCGCGCUGUCGGGUCAAUGACAAGCGUGGCUCUCACUGUCACGAAAAAGCUACAUAAAUGACAUGUCAAUUGGUUACGAUGAUAAUAAAUGUUUCGUUUUGGAUAUUUUA